AUCAACUUUCGAUGGUAGGAUAGAGGCCUACCAUGGUGGUAACGGGUAACGGGGUGUUAGGGCACGACACCGGAGAGGGAGCCUGAGAAACGGCUACCACAUCCAAGGAUGGCAGCAGGCGCGCAAAUUACCCAAUCCCGACACGGGGAGGUAGUGACAAUAAAUAACAAUACGGGGUUCUUUCGGAUUUCGUAAUUGGAAUGAGUACAAUUUAAAUCUCUUAACGAGGAACAAUUGGAGGGCAAGUCUGGUGCCAGCAGCCGCGGUAAUUCCAGCUCCAAUAGCGUAUAUUAAAGUUGUUGCAGUUAAAAAGCUCGUAGUUGAAUUUCGGGAUCAAUAUAUUGGUCGUGCCUUUGGUAUGCACUGGUAUCAUUGAUUUCUACCUUCUGACGAACURUGAUGUCAUUAAUUUGGUGUCAURGGGAAUCAGGACUGUUACUUUGAAAAAAUUAGAGUGUUUAAAGCAGGCACACGCUUGAAUACAUUAGCAUGGAAUAAUGAAAUAGGACGUUUGACCCUAUUUUGUUGGUUUCUAGGAUCGACGUAAUGAUUAAUAGGGAUAGUUGGGGGCAUUAGUAUUCAAUUGUCAGAGGUGAAAUUCUUGGAUUUAUUGAAGACUAACUACUGCGAAAGCAUUUGCCAAGGAUGUUUUCAUUAAUCAAGAACGAAAGUUAGGGGAUCGAAGACGAUCAGAUACCGUCGUAGUCUUAACCAUAAACUAUGCCGACUAGGGAU
Molecule: small RNA, 735 nt
Filed under: uncultured fungus
Lineage: Eukaryota; Fungi
Description: SSU rRNA
Rfam family: Eukaryotic small subunit ribosomal RNA
Source: RNAcentral